UGCAGAGGAGCCAAGCGUUGUCCGGAUUGACUGGGCGUAAAGCGCACGCAGGCGGACGCGCGCGUGGGGUGUGAAAUCUGGCCGCUUAACGGCCAGGCGCCAUCCCAUACGGCGCGUCUGGAGUGAUGCAGAGGUCGGUGGAAUUGCCGGUGUAGUGGUGAAAUGCGUAGAGAUCGGCAGGAACACCCAGGGGGAAACCAGCCGACUGGGCAUCUACUGACGCUGAGGUGCGAGAGCGUGGGGAGCGAACCGG
This 253-nucleotide ribosomal RNA is filed under the name uncultured bacterium. RNAcentral describes it as "partial 16S ribosomal RNA". It matches the Rfam family "Bacterial small subunit ribosomal RNA", at positions 524 to 776 of the family's 1533-position model. The record is from RNAcentral.